RNAcentral lists this transfer RNA (73 nucleotides) under Tursiops truncatus (common bottlenose dolphin). RNAcentral's name for it is "tRNA-Sup (TCA) (tRNA-Sup-TCA-12-1)". It matches the Rfam family "tRNA". Rfam says of the family: Transfer RNA (tRNA) molecules are approximately 80 nucleotides in length. Their secondary structure includes four short double-helical elements and three loops (D, anti-codon, and T loops). The record is from Rfam by way of RNAcentral. RNAcentral also lists the same sequence under 7 other names. Lineage: Eukaryota; Metazoa; Chordata; Mammalia; Artiodactyla; Delphinidae.
UCCCUGGAGGUCCAGUGGUUAGGACUCUGCACUUCAACUGCAGGUGGCACAGGUUUGAUCCCUGAUCAGGGAA